RNAcentral lists this long non-coding RNA (691 nucleotides) under Coffea arabica (coffee). Its description in RNAcentral is "long non-coding RNA (CARA_LNC006650)". The record is from RNAcentral. Lineage: Eukaryota; Viridiplantae; Streptophyta; Magnoliopsida; Gentianales; Rubiaceae.
UUCUUUUUUUUUUUUUUUUUUUUGUCGAUACAGGGGUGUCCGGGUCAAUCCUUACAUGCACAUGAUACCAGUAUAGGAGAAUACAAUAAUAUACUAACAUAGUAUGCUAGCGUGUGAUGAUAUGAUAUCCAUUUAAUAUGACUUUACAAUUUGCACAGUCCCAAAUUCCCAAUAAGCACCAGUUCCCAAACUCAUUAAAAUUUCCUGGCAAGAAUUCGGUGAGAUGCUGUGUACAGCUUUAUUGAAGAAAAGGCAAAGGAUGUAGUUAAAGAUGUAAUUAAGCUUCAACGGGUUUUGAAGUGGAGAUUGCCCAAGAGAAAUAUGGGGGACCUAAAACCUUGGCGAUGCUCAAAAACAAAGUGGAUCAUUUCUACUUUCAUUAGUGGCUUGAAGAAAGAAAUCAAGCCAAUGGUUAAGAUGCUCAGACAAGAAACAUAAUAGUUGUUCAAACCCCAGGAAUAUUCAAUUAAAAACAGAAAAAAAAAUAUAGCUUAAUGCGAACUCUUUGUUUCUGAGUACAGUGAACGAUUAUCAAUUUUCCAAUACACACUUUUUGUAGCCUCUACAACUUAUGGAUACAGACAGGUAUAAGCAUAAUCACAUGGAGUAGCUAGAUUGAGCGGUUCAGAUGAUGUGAAAAUAAAGAGGCAUAAGCCCCAUUAGCUGUCUUUAUGAGCUCAUCAUGUCUACC